This 868-nucleotide long non-coding RNA is filed under the name Homo sapiens (human). RNAcentral describes it as "HSALNT0232362". Lineage: Eukaryota; Metazoa; Chordata; Mammalia; Primates; Hominidae. The record is from RNAcentral.
AAUCAGCUGGGAACAAUGACUGCCAAAAGUGUCCAGAGGAAGUCUGCAGGACCUGGGUCUCUCCUAGGUGGAAUAUUCUUUGAAAUCAGGGAACAGAUGUCCACAUCCUGGACUCAGGAAUUUGCGCAGAAGGAGACACUCCAAGCAGUGCUCCGACACACAAGAGGCCCCAGGAAUUCGGAGACCUGAGUAACCCCAAGGAAGCCCUGGCCGCACUCAGGCUGCUGUUUUCAGGCAAAACUAAACAACUCAUAUCAGUCCAAGCACAAAGGAUACUCUCCAAGGAUCAUGGACAUGGAGGUUUGGAUUGAUUUGCAUUCUUUUGCCAAGGAAAGCAUUAACUGGCCCUUUGGGAAGCCCACCUAGUCAAAGGCUAAAAGCUUUAUUGUGCCUGGAGGACAAUCUGCACUUCCGCUCCUUCGGGACUCACCUACUCUCGUGGUAAUUCCAUGCCAAACCACAACCUCCUAGGAAAUGGAUCUGACUCUGAGUCAGAGAUGCGUUCCAAGUCCUAGGGCUAUUGGCCCCGCCAACUUAUAUCCUCACCCCUUGACUGCCAUUUCUCUCUUUUGCCAAUACUGACACUAAUUGUAGAGUUCCCCAACUCCACGCUGCCACUUGCUUAUUUCGUUAUUAUUGCUCAACCUGUGUGACUAUUUUGGAGGACAGAGAUUCCUAGGUCUCUGUAUCUGGAUCUUUCUCUAAGCUGGCAAGUAACCUGCUUUAUCUAACCUUCCUACUGUCAGUGACCCAAGCAGUAGAAGUCACCUCCCUAAUUGUCUUCUAUGAGUUGGAAACCAAAUAAAAAGAUUUAUUAGAAAUAUGUAUAGAGUUAGAGCCUGUGUGUACUGACUGAAGUUCUAAAGGC